RNAcentral lists this ribosomal RNA (253 nucleotides) under uncultured bacterium. Its description in RNAcentral is "partial 16S ribosomal RNA". It matches the Rfam family "Bacterial small subunit ribosomal RNA", at positions 524 to 776 of the family's 1533-position model. The record is from RNAcentral.
UACGGAGGGUGCAAGCGUUAAUCGGAAUUACUGGGCGUAAAGCGCACGUAGGCGGCGAUUCAAGUCAGAGGUGAAAGCCCGGGGCUCAACCCCGGAACUGCCUUUGAAACUAGAUUGCUAGAAUCCUGGAGAGGUGAGUGGAAUUCCGAGUGUAGAGGUGAAAUUCGUAGAUAUUCGGAAGAACACCAGUGGCGAAGGCGACUCACUGGACAGGUAUUGACGCUGAGGUGCGAAAGCGUGGGGAGCAAACAGG